RNAcentral lists this ribosomal RNA (421 nucleotides) under Fusobacteriota bacterium. Its description in RNAcentral is "Fusobacteria bacterium partial 16S ribosomal RNA". It matches the Rfam family "Bacterial small subunit ribosomal RNA", at positions 355 to 776 of the family's 1533-position model. The record is from RNAcentral. Lineage: Bacteria; Fusobacteriati; Fusobacteriota.
UGGGGAAUAUUGCACAAUGGACGGAAGUUUGAUGCAGCGACGCCGCGUGGAGGGUGUAGGCCUUCGGGUUGUGAACUCCUUUUUCUCGCGAAAAAGGCACAGUUUUGGCUGUGUUGAUGGUAGUGGGGGAAGAAGCGCCGGCUAACUACGUGCCAGCAGCCGCGGUAAUACGUAGGGCGCGAGCGUUGUCCGGAUUUAUUGGGCGUAAAGAGCUCGUAGGUGGUUCGUCGCGUCUGUCGUGAAAGCCAGCAGCUUAACUGUGGGUCUGCGGUGGGUACGGGCGGGCUUGAGUGCGGUAGGGGUGACUGGAAUUCCUGGUGUAGCGGUGGAAUGCGCAGAUAUCAGGAGGAACACCGAUGGCGAAGGCAGGUCACUGGGCCGUUACUGACACUGAGGAGCGAAAGCGUGGGGAGCGAACAGG